RNAcentral lists this ribosomal RNA (478 nucleotides) under uncultured bacterium. RNAcentral's name for it is "partial 16S ribosomal RNA". It matches the Rfam family "Bacterial small subunit ribosomal RNA", at positions 28 to 507 of the family's 1533-position model. The record is from RNAcentral.
GAUGAACGCUGGCGGCGUGCUUAACACAUGCAAGUCGAACGAGAAGUGGAGACGGAAACCUUCGGGCGGAAGACUUUAUUUCGAGUGGCGGACGGGUGAGUAACGCGUGGGUACCCUGCCUCAUACAGGGGGAUAACAGUUGGAAACGACUGUUAAUACCGCAUAAGACCACAGCACCGCAUGGUGCGGGGGUAAAAACUCCGGUGGUAUGAGAUGGACCCGCGUUCGAUUAGCCAGUUGGCGGGGUAACGGCCCACCAAAGCGACGAUCGAUAGCCGAUCUGAGAGGAUGACCGGCCACAUUGGGACUGAGACACGGCCCAAACUCCUACGGGAGGCAGCAGUGGGGAAUAUUGCACAAUGGGGGAAACCCUGAUGCAGCGACGCCGCGUGAGUGAAGAAGUAUUUCGGUAUGUAAAGCUCUAUCAGCAGGGAAGAAAAUGACGGUACCUGAGUAAGAAGCCCCGGCUAACUACGUG